This 65-nucleotide microRNA precursor is filed under the name Erinaceus europaeus (western European hedgehog). Its description in RNAcentral is "miRNA (ENSEEUG00000023876.1)". Lineage: Eukaryota; Metazoa; Chordata; Mammalia; Eulipotyphla; Erinaceidae. The record is from RNAcentral.
CUUCCUUCAGGUCCCUGUUCAGGUGCCACCUGCAACAGACCGCUACAGUGGAAGAGCAGCAGGAA